RNAcentral lists this long non-coding RNA (328 nucleotides) under Salvia miltiorrhiza (redroot sage). RNAcentral's name for it is "long non-coding RNA (SMIL_LNC012142)". The record is from RNAcentral. Lineage: Eukaryota; Viridiplantae; Streptophyta; Magnoliopsida; Lamiales; Lamiaceae.
AGGGAUCCUACUUUUUUGUGAGUGGAAAACUUACCAAAAUAGACUAGAUAUAUUUUAUAAGAACUAACGAAAAUGACAAAUUGAAUAUAUUUUACGAGGACAGAGGGUGUGGUAUUUUUUCUUUUUAUUUCACUUUUCUCUAUCUUUUUUUUUGGUUUUAUUUCUUUUUAAAAUUAUGAAAUUCGACUAAUUAUAAAAUAUUUAAUAUGCAUAUCAAAUUAAAGAUCACAACGAUAUAUUUUAUGUAAAUGUUUGAUUUAAAAUAUAAAAAUUAUGUUUAUUUAAAGAUUAAAUUUUAAAAUAUUCCCUAUCCUCUCUAAUCUUUUUU